Molecule: non-coding RNA, 355 nt
Organism: Cyanistes caeruleus (blue tit)
Lineage: Eukaryota; Metazoa; Chordata; Aves; Passeriformes; Paridae
Source: RefSeq, a predicted model, not a curated record
AAUUGUUGGUCAAAUUACUUUUUUGAUCACAGAUGUCUGGGUACCUCAGUUUGAUAUGGUAGCACUUAAUGAUUAACACAAAGAACAAAUAACUUUCCGCAAUUCAUCCAAUCUGCUUGGAUUUCUAAACUUCUGUGGAAAUGACCACACACACACAUGGGCUCCUAUAACAGCAAGCUUUGAGGUUUAUUAAAAAACCAGAAUUCACCAGGCCUGUGCCAAACCUUCGGGAUUGCAGAGAUUGGAUGUCCUGUGAUAUCACAACAGAGGAUUUGCAAUGUCAGGCUUUUGGAAACUAAAUUAUGCGAUCAUUCAAGGAAAGAAUAACUUAUAUUGGAAAGACCUUUAAGAUCAU